CCUACGGGAGGCAGCAGUGGGGAAUAUUGGACAAUGGGCGCAAGCCUGAUCCAGCGACGCCGCGUGGGUGAUGAAGGUCUUCGGAUUGUAAAGCCCUUUUGUGAGGGAAGAUAAUGACGGUACCUCACGAAUAAGUCCCGGCUAACUUCGUGCCAGCAGCCGCGGUAAUACGAAGGGGGCUAGCGUUGUUCGGAAUGACUGGGCGUAAAGGGUGCGUAGGCGGUUUUAUACGUUUGGUGUGAAAGUCCUGGGCUUAACCUGGGGAUUGCACUGAAUACGGUAAGGCUAGAGUUUAAGAGGGGAAGAGGGAAUUGCGGGUGUAGAGGUGAAAUUCGUAGAUAUCCGCAAGAACACCGGAGGCGAAGGCGCUCUUCUGGCUUAUGACUGACGCUGAGGCACGAAAGCGUGGGGAGCAAACAGGAUUAGAUACCCUUGUAGUC
This 440-nucleotide ribosomal RNA is filed under the name uncultured bacterium. RNAcentral's name for it is "bacterial SSU rRNA". It matches the Rfam family "Bacterial small subunit ribosomal RNA", at positions 338 to 795 of the family's 1533-position model. The record is from RNAcentral.